GUGAAAUUUUCAAGGGCUUCGGCUCGACUCUCCCACCCUUUGUGAACGUACCUCUGUUGCUUUGGCGGCUCCGGCCGCCAAAGGACCUCCAAACUCCAGUCAGUAAACGCAGACGUCUGAUAAACAAGUUAAUAAACUAAAACUUUCAACAACGGAUCUCUUGGUUCUGGCAUCGAUGAAGAACGCAGCGAAAUGCGAUAAGUAAUGUGAAUUGCAGAAUUCAGUGAAUCAUCAAAUCUUUGAACGCACAUUGCGCCCCUUGGUAUUCCGGGGGGCAUGCCUGUUCGAGCGUCAUUACAACCCUCAAGCUCUGCUUGGAAUUGGGCACCGUCCUCACUGCGGACGCGCCUCAAAGACCUCGGCGGUGGCUGUUCAGCCCUCAAGCGUAGUAGAAUACACCUCGCUUUGGAGUGGUUGGCGUCGCCCGCCGGACGAACCUUCUGAACUUUUCUCAAGGUUGACCUCGGAUCAGGUAGGGAUACCCGCUGAACUUAAGCAUAUCAAUAAGCGGGAGGAA
RNAcentral lists this ribosomal RNA (517 nucleotides) under Macrophomina phaseolina. RNAcentral describes it as "eukaryotic LSU rRNA". The stretch from base 141 to 294 matches the Rfam family "5.8S ribosomal RNA". Lineage: Eukaryota; Fungi; Ascomycota; Dothideomycetes; Botryosphaeriales; Botryosphaeriaceae. The record is from RNAcentral.